CCUACGGGGGGCAGCAGUGGGGAAUAUUGCACAAUGGGGGAAACCCUGAUGCAGCGACGCCGCGUGAGUGAAGAAGUAUUUCGGUACGUAAAGCUCUAUCAGCAGGGAAGAAAAUGACGGUACCUGACUAAGAAGCCCCGGCUAACUACGUGCCAGCAGCCGCGGUAAUACGUAGGGGGCAAGCGUUAUCCGGAUUUACUGGGUGUAAAGGGAGCGUAGACGGCAGCGCAAGUCUGGAGUGAAAGGCGGGGGCCCAACCCCCGGACUGCUCUGGAAAAUAUGUUACUGGAGUGCAGGAGAGGUGAGCAGAAUUCCUAGUGUAGCGGUGAAAUGCGUAGAUAUUAGGAGGAACACCAGUGGCGAAGGCGGCUCACUGGACUGUAACUGACGGUGAGGCUCGAAAGCGUGGGGAGCAAACAGGAUUAGAUACCCGAGUAGUC
This 440-nucleotide ribosomal RNA is filed under the name uncultured bacterium. Its description in RNAcentral is "partial 16S ribosomal RNA". It matches the Rfam family "Bacterial small subunit ribosomal RNA", at positions 338 to 795 of the family's 1533-position model. The record is from RNAcentral.